Molecule: ribosomal RNA, 253 nt
Filed under: uncultured bacterium
Lineage: Bacteria
Description: partial 16S ribosomal RNA
Rfam family: Bacterial small subunit ribosomal RNA
Source: RNAcentral
UACGGAGGAUCCAAGCGUUAUCCGGAUUUAUUGGGUUUAAAGGGUGCGUAGGCGGAAUAAUAAGUCAGUGGUGAAAGCCUACAGCUUAACUGUAGAACUGCCAUUGAUACUGUUAAUCUUGAGUUUAGAUGAAGUGGGCGGAAUGUGUCAUGUAGCGGUGAAAUGCAUAGAUAUGACACAGAACACCGAUAGCGAAGGCAGCUCACUAAACUAAAACUGACGCUGAUGCACGAAAGCGUGGGGAUCAAACAGG